GGUUGGUCCAACGGUAGUGAGUUAUCAGAGCUUAUUAACGUUGGUGUCAGUCAAGUUGCUAUUCAAGUCUCCACUGCUAAAUCUGACUGGCUAAAA
Molecule: non-coding RNA, 96 nt
Organism: Otolemur garnettii (small-eared galago)
Lineage: Eukaryota; Metazoa; Chordata; Mammalia; Primates; Galagidae
Source: Rfam